CUACGGGAGGCUCCAGUGAGGAAUCUUGGACAAUGGGCGAAAGCCUGAUCCAGCGACGCCGCGUGGGUGACGAAGGCCUUCGGGUUGUAAAGCCCUGUCAGAGGGGAAGAAGUUCUGACGGUACCCUCAGAGGAAGCACAGGCUAACUCCGUGCCAGCAGCCGCGGUAAUACGGAGUGUGCAAGCGUUGCUCGGAAUCACUGGGCGUAAAGGGCGCGUAGGCGGCUUGGUAAGUUGGAUGUGAAAGCCCUCGGCUCAACCGAGGAACUGCAUCCAAAACUGCCUGGCUAGAGUACGGAAGAGGAAGGCGGAAUUCCCAGUGUAGGGGUGAAAUCCGUAGAUAUUGGGAAGAACACCAGUGGCGAAGGCGGCCUUCUGGGACGAUACUGACGCUGAGGCGCGAAAGCGUGGGGAGCAAACAGGAUUAGAUACCCGGGUAGUC
Molecule: ribosomal RNA, 441 nt
Filed under: uncultured bacterium
Lineage: Bacteria
Description: partial 16S ribosomal RNA
Rfam family: Bacterial small subunit ribosomal RNA
Source: RNAcentral